RNAcentral lists this ribosomal RNA (450 nucleotides) under uncultured bacterium. Its description in RNAcentral is "bacterial SSU rRNA". It matches the Rfam family "Bacterial small subunit ribosomal RNA", at positions 354 to 796 of the family's 1533-position model. The record is from RNAcentral.
GUGAGGAAUAUUGGGCAAUGGGCGAAAGCCUGACCCAGCCACGCCGCGUGAGUGAUGAAGGCCUUCGGGUUGUAAAGCUCUGUGGGGAGGGAAGAAAAAGCGCAGGAGUAACUGCCUGUGUGUUGACGGUACCUCCUUAGCAAGCACCGGCUAACUCUGUGCCAGCAGCCGCGGUAAUACAGAGGGUGCAAACGUUGCUCGGAAUUACUGGGCGUAAAGCGCGUGUAGGCUGACAUGCAAGUCGGGUGUGAAAUCCCAGGGCUCAACCUUGGAACUGCACUCGAAACUGCACGUCUUGAGUACUGGAGAGGGAAGCGGAAUUCCGGGUGUAGAGGUGAAAUUCGUAGAUAUCCGGAGGAACACCAGUGGCGAAGGCGGCUUCCUGGACAGUAACUGACGCUGAGACGCGAAAGCGUGGGGAGCAAACAGGAUUAGAUACCCGUGUAGUCC